RNAcentral lists this ribosomal RNA (253 nucleotides) under uncultured bacterium. RNAcentral describes it as "partial 16S ribosomal RNA". It matches the Rfam family "Bacterial small subunit ribosomal RNA", at positions 524 to 776 of the family's 1533-position model. The record is from RNAcentral.
UACAGAGGUCCCGAGCGUUGUUCGGAUUCAUUGGGCGGAAAGGGUGCGUAGGCGGCGGGGAAAGUCUGAUGUGAAAUCCUGGGGCUCAACCCUGGAACUGCAUUGGAUACUUCCUUGCUAGAGUACUGGAGAGGAAACUGGAAUUUACGGUGUAGCAGUGAAAUGCGUAGAGAUCGUAAGGAAGACCAGUGGCGAAGGCGAGUUUCUGGACAGUUACUGACGCUGAGGCACGAAGGCCAGGGGAGCAAACGGG